This 1064-nucleotide ribosomal RNA is filed under the name Penicillium sp. F34 MAN-2013. RNAcentral's name for it is "partial 18S ribosomal RNA". It matches the Rfam family "Eukaryotic small subunit ribosomal RNA", at positions 38 to 1118 of the family's 1831-position model. Lineage: Eukaryota; Fungi; Ascomycota; Eurotiomycetes; Eurotiales; Aspergillaceae. The record is from RNAcentral.
UYMAGAUUAGCCMUGCAUGUCUAAGUAUAAGCAACUUGUACUGUGAAACUGCGAAUGGCUCAUUAAAUCAGUUAUCGUUUAUUUGAUAGUACCUUACUACAUGGAUACCUGUGGUAAUUCUAGAGCUAAUACAUGCUAAAAACCCCGACUUCAGGAAGGGGUGUAUUUAUUAGAUAAAAAACCAACGCCCUUCGGGGCUCCUUGGUGAAUCAUAAUAACUUAACGAAUCGCAUGGCCUUGCGCCGGCGAUGGUUCAUUCAAAUUUCUGCCCUAUCAACUUUCGAUGGUAGGAUAGUGGCCUACCAUGGUGGCAACGGGUAACGGGGAAUUAGGGUUCGAUUCCGGAGAGGGAGCCUGAGAAACGGCUACCACAUCCAAGGAAGGCAGCAGGCGCGCAAAUUACCCAAUCCCGAUACGGGGAGGUAGUGACAAUAAAUACUGAUACGGGGCUCUUUUGGGUCUCGUAAUUGGAAUGAGAACAAUUUAAAUCCCUUAACGAGGAACAAUUGGAGGGCAAGUCUGGUGCCAGCAGCCGCGGUAAUUCCAGCUCCAAUAGCGUAUAUUAAAGUUGUUGCAGUUAAAAAGCUCGUAGUUGAACCUUGGGCCUGGCUGGCCGGUCCGCCUCACCGCGAGUACUGGUCCGGCUGGGCCUUUCCUUCUGGGGAACCUCAUGGCCUUCACUGGCUGUGGGGGGAACCAGGACUUUUACUGUGAAAAAAUUAGAGUGUUCAAAGCAGGCCUUUGCUCGAAUACAUUAGCAUGGAAUAAAUAGAAUARGACGUGUGGUUCUAUUUUGUUGGUUUCUAGGACCGCCGUAAUGAUUAAAUAGGGAUAGUCSGGGGGCGUCAGUAUUCAGCUGUCAGAGGUGAAAUUCUUGGRAUUUGCUGAAGACWAACUACUGCRCAAGCAUUCSSCCAGGVUGUUUUCDUUAAUCGRGAACSAAAGUWRGGGAUCSAAAAMRAAUARAUACCCGYCSUAWUCUUAACCGUAAACUDUGCCVACUARGRAUYSGAACGGAWUYCAUMAABGRCCCCGUUCRSMMCCHUAMCAGNAVSBCAAGUUUC